RNAcentral lists this ribosomal RNA (2034 nucleotides) under Triticum aestivum (bread wheat). RNAcentral describes it as "partial small subunit ribosomal RNA". The record is from RNAcentral. Lineage: Eukaryota; Viridiplantae; Streptophyta; Magnoliopsida; Poales; Poaceae.
AUGGGGUGCGCGCAGUCGCGGAUCGAGAACGAGGAGGCGGUGGCGCGAUGCAAGGAGCGCCGCCAGCACAUGAAGGCGGCCGUGGCGGCGCGCAACGCCUUCGCCGCCGCGCACUCCGCCUACGCCUUCUCGCUGCGGGACACGGGCGCCGCGCUCUCCGAGUUCGCGCACGGGGAGGGGGUGCCGCCGCCGCCGCCCCCGCCCGCCGCGGAGCUGUCCAAGGCAGGCAGGCUCUCGGCAGGCGGGACCGGCGCGCCCAAGUCGGGGGUCGCGGCCGCGACUUCCGCGGACACGGCGGUGGAGGAGGUAAUGCCGCCGCCGCCGCCCCUCGACUCGCUGCCCCCGCCCCCGCCGCCGCUGCCGGAGUUCUCGCCCUCCCCGGCGAAGAUCCACCGCUCGAUGAGCAUGCCCAUGGCGCCCAAGGCCGUGGCGGGGGGGAGGGGCCCCGCCAUGCUCCACACGCCGGUGACCCCCCAGCCACCGCCGCCGCCUCCCCCGCCGCCGCCCCCGCCCCCUCUUGACCCCAAGACCGGGGUUGACACGUGGGAUUACUUCUUCUCCAUGGAAGAGGGGAUGGCGUCUAUUGCCACCGAGGACGAGGAGAUCAUCCCGGAGCCGGAGGACGAGAAGUACGUUCCUGCCUCGCCACCGCGCCCUCCCUCCUCGCCCCCUCCACAAGCGGUUGUGCCGCCACGGGAGGAGUAUGAGGAGGAGGAGCCGCGCACGCCGGAGAUGGUCACACCGCCUCCGUCGCUUCCGCCAAAGGCUCCUGGACAGUCCAAGAAGAAGAAGGGCAAGGGCAAGGGGAAGGGGAAGAAUAAGUCUGUGCACCACCAGCACACUGAGUCCGCGCCGCCGGUCACGGUGGUCGGUGGCUGGGGGAAGGCGGGGAAGGUUGUCCCCGCCGAGGUGCCACGCGUAGACCUGCUGCAGGUGCUUGCGGAGAUCGAUGAUAGGUUCUUGAAGGCGUCAGAGAGCGCCGGGGAGGUUUCCAAGGCGCUGGAGGCGAACAGGAUGCACUACCAUUCCAAUUUCGCCGACACUAGAGGGCAUAUUGAUCAUUCUGCGAGAGUUAUGAAAAUAAUAACAUGGAAUAGAUCCUUCAGAAGCAUGCAAAAUGGUGAUGAUGGGAAGGAUGAAUUUGAAAAUGAUGAAGAGGAGACGCUGGCAACUGUCAUAGACAAAAUUUUAGCCUGGGAGAAAAAGCUGUAUGACGAAGUGAAGGCUGGUGAGAUUAUGAAGCUUGAGUAUCAGCGGAAGGUUGCUUUGUUAAAUAGACAAAAGAGAAACAAUGCUGCUGUUGAGGUUCUGGAGAAAACUAAAGCUGCUGUUACCCAUUUGCAUACAAGAUACAUAGUUGAUAUGCAAUCAAUGGAUUCAACUGUCUCAGAGAUUCAGCAUCUCCGUGAUAAUCAACUUUAUCCAAAACUUCUGGACCUUGCUGAUAGGCUGGCAAAAAUGUGGGAAGAUAUGCACAUGCAUCAUGCAAACCAGCUGAAAACUGUGUUGGAUCUCAAGUCGGUUGACAUUUCUGAUUCCAGCAUUGAAACAAGUGCGCAUCACCACAGCCACACGCGUCAGCUGCAUGAUAUUGUAGACAAGUGGAACACAAACUUCAGUGAUCUCAUGAGCUAUCAGAAGGAGUACAUAAAUGCUCUCUACAGCUGGUUGAAAUUGAACCUUAUACCUAUAGAGAGCAGCUUAAAGGAGAAAGUAGCAUCGCCACCAAGGGUGCAGCAACCUCCUGUGAAGGCUCUCCUCCAAGCAUGGAAUGAGCAACUAGCCAAGCUGCCGGAUGAUCUUGCCAGGCAUGCCAUCGUUAGCUUCCGGGCGGUCCUGGAAACCAUACUAGGUGUUCAAGACGAGGAGCUGAAGAAGAAAGAGGCUUGUGAACAAAUCCACAAGGAAUACGUGAACAAAUCCACAAGGAAUACAAGCAUGGGCAGCGCAGGACAUUUGAUGACCCGGAGAGCGGCGAGGGGACAAGCCAGAAGGAUGCGAUCUCGGAGAAGAGAUUCGCCGUGGAAAGCUUGA